Long non-coding RNA from Hyaena hyaena (striped hyena), 450 nucleotides. RefSeq lists it as uncharacterized. The transcript is spliced from 4 exons. NCBI's taxonomy places the organism in Eukaryota, Metazoa, Chordata, Mammalia, Carnivora, Hyaenidae. The record is from RefSeq and is a predicted model, not a curated record.
GGAUAACCACUGAUAACAUUUUGAGGAGGCAAACCGAAGGUUAUCAUCAGCAGAUGGAAGGAGAAAUGUUUACAGGGGCAUUGGAACUGGGGGGCAAGACUGAGAUCCUGGAGACAGAUGGUAGAGAUGAGAUAAGAACCCACCAACGUGAUUGUUGAUUUGAACAGCCAAGCCAUGGAACCUCUUGAGGAGAAUUCUCUAGAGAGAAGGGAGGUGGCAGGCAACUUGAAACCGCAACUGUAUAUCCUUUCCAGAGACAUUUGUCCUCAGGAGUCUGACCAUUGAAGCCUCCUGCCUGCUCCUGUCUCAUGGCGACGUGCGAUCCACAGCCCUAACUGAGAAUGGCCUCUGGCACUUCCAGGAGCUGCCCAGCUGUUGACAUCAGUGCGAUCCCUUGUAUGUAUUGACUCCAAAGUACAACAAAAAACACGAUUCCAUUCACCCUAAGAA